Molecule: long non-coding RNA, 234 nt
Filed under: Elaeis guineensis (African oil palm)
Lineage: Eukaryota; Viridiplantae; Streptophyta; Magnoliopsida; Arecales; Arecaceae
Description: long non-coding RNA (EGUI_LNC070070)
Source: RNAcentral
UAAUAUUGGACUAUUCUUUGCCGAUAUGCUGCCAUCCAAACUUAAGCUUACUGUCGGACUUCCGAAAGUAAGUCUAGAUCGGCUCUCCGACAUUCAAAAUUGCUCGAUUCAUUAUACUGUUCCACUCUUGCUGAUGGUAAUUCGAUCUCAAAUUGAAUCAUCACCUCCAUCCUAUAGGUUAGAUUGAAUGACAAUUCUCCUGUCAGUAUACGAGGAGUUGUCCGAUAUGCCCAU